AGCGAACGCUGGCGGCAGGCUUAACACAUGCAAGUCGAGCGGGCAUCCUUGUGGUGUCAGCGGCAGACGGGUGAGUAACGCGUGGGAACGUGCCCUUCGGUUCGGAAUAACUCAGGGAAACUUGAGCUAAUACCGGAUACGUGCGAGAGCAGAAAGGUUUAUCUGCCGAAGGAUCGGCUCGCGUCUGAUUAGCUAGUUGGUGAGGUUACGGCUCACCAAGGCGACGAUCAGUAGCUGGUCUGAGAGGAUGAUCAGCCACACUGGGACUGAGACACGGCCCAGACUCCUACGGGAGGCAGCAGUGGGGAAUAUUGGACAAUGGGGGCAACCCUGAUCCAGCCAUGCCGCGUGAGUGAUGACGGCCUUAGGGUUGUAAAGCUCUUUUCUCCGGGACGAUAAUGACGGUACCGGAGGAAUAAGCCCCGGCUAACUUCGUG
RNAcentral lists this ribosomal RNA (437 nucleotides) under uncultured bacterium. Its description in RNAcentral is "partial 16S ribosomal RNA". It matches the Rfam family "Bacterial small subunit ribosomal RNA", at positions 29 to 507 of the family's 1533-position model. The record is from RNAcentral.